This 1002-nucleotide ribosomal RNA is filed under the name Triticum aestivum (bread wheat). RNAcentral's name for it is "partial small subunit ribosomal RNA". Lineage: Eukaryota; Viridiplantae; Streptophyta; Magnoliopsida; Poales; Poaceae. The record is from RNAcentral.
GUGUCCAGUAAUUAAAGAAAGAUUCCGUGCAGCUUCCUCCUACCGUGUACUCGUACCGCUUCCUUAUCUCCCAAAAAAGGACAUCUUCUGCCAUGGAAAAAAUUGAUCCAAGAAUCCGCCGGGGUGCGACGCCGAGUCAACGCUAGUUCCAGUCCCAUGCGCGGCGCCGACUGUGCUCCUCUCUCCACUCGCCGUUCCCCCAAAAUGAAACCCUCGACACAACCACUGCCGGGGUCGUUCAAUUUCUCAGAGAUAAAUCUGACAAAGCAACCACUAUGGGAUACAUCAGAUGUGCAGUGAGGUGAUGUAUGUGUGGUGUAGAGAUGGGUGGUAGAGGAGUUGUCAGGUCUAUGUACAAUUUUCUCAAUAUCAGUUGAGUCUGGGAACACGACAAUUUGCUCACCUUGAAGAUGGAACUGCAGUCUCUGUACAGAAAGCUACCGGUGCUGAAGUUCAAAUCCAAAGAUACGCCAAGAUGCUUCACCUGCGGAUAGGUAUCGUGCAUUAAGGUACAUUUGUAUCUCGUCAUAGUUAUUUCCUCCACCCAAAACUACAGUUGCUCUAUCCUCUCCUUUGUGGAUGUACUUGAACAAAUACUUUAUGGAUCAUGAUUUAUUACACCAUUCCACGUUUAUGUGGGCCUGGUAAUUGACUAUCAGGUCCCUGUUGUAUGGAACAACAUACCUGCUAUCUAGUUGUACUCCAUUUUUUCUACUGUCCUGCCAUUAUUUCUUCUUCUGUAUAUUGGGAAUCCUUCUUCAUCGAUGCUUGUUUCCUCGCAGAACAUCUUAGGGAAAUGUUUUGAGCACUUCCCAUUGAUCAUGCAUGGUGACUUGUAGCAUGCCUGGCCACAUGGUCCAUGCAUCAUGAAAUUUUCAACUGCCAUGUAACCUUCUGGAUCAACAUCCUUGUCUGGCACCUCUGCUGAUAUGAUCUGGUCAAUAUUUUGGGGGCUAGGAUCCCUGUCAUCUGGAUCCAAAAAUAAUAGUAUAUGUGCAUGAG